CAGUGCCUGCAAGGCACACAGAAGUAUUUUGAAAGUAUAUAAGCAGCGGCCCGGAAGGUGAGGAAAGGCUUCCCAAAAAGAGUUGGCACCUGAACAGCCAAGGGUUUUGAAAGAUGAAUAGGCCUAGGACAAUCAGACAUGGGAUCAAAGGGCAUUCCAGAUUGUGCAAAACACUGGCAGAAACAUAACAGCUUGAAAACUACUGGAAGAACUCAUUCACCAUCAGUGAAGGAAAGCUGGUCUAUUGCACGCUUAAGCUUUCCAAGAAAAAAAACAAGCUUUCAAAUAAGGAGCGGAGGAAGAAAGUUUCACCACUGCUUGUUUUGUUAAGCCUCUUAGCCUCGCUUUCCUUUGUUUUGGUCUGUUUUGUUCCCUCUUAAAGAAAUAAAGUACUGUGCUGGCAUAAAACUUCAGUGAGGAAAAGUACUUCAACUUUACUGUGGAAUAAGAAAAAUGCUAAGUGGGCAUGGGCCAAGGAAUGAAUAAAUGAAUGAAUGAAUGAAUAAAUGAAUGAAAAAAUAAAUAAAACUUUUCUGGAAUACAUAAAUGGAGCACAAUUAAAAAUUCAGGCAUCAUGGACCUGAAAUACUAAUUCCAACAAUUCCAACGUUUCUCUUCACCAACUUAAUACAUACUUACAGUGUUUUGUGCCCACUAUUUGUUAGUUUCGGGGAUACUAGGCCUAUGAGGCACUUUCAUUGUCCUCCUUUUUGAGCGAGCUCUGGCUUGCAAUUUAGUAAAAGAAAUAAGCAGAGGACAAUUCACUGUAGCCUGUUCCCUCCACGGUUGCCAACUUAAAGCCUGAAACUCCUGCAGAGUUAAAUUCCAGUCAAGUUAGCCGUGAGGUCAAACACACUUCAAUAAUAAUUACACCGACAACAACUGAGAUGUGAGAAACUGACAGAGGUCGUUGGUAGAAUUGUCUCAUCACCUCUUCCUGUGAACCCGGAGUUCGCGGAGUUGGCGAGCUGGUGGAGGACCGCCUAGCCAGGGGCCUGAACACAAGAGGGGACAGAGUGGGGGUAGAGUUACCUGGGAGCUCAGGUAGACUUUGAGGCACUCCUCGCACACGGCCUUCUUGCAGCAGGGCAAGGGCUUGAUGGGCUUGUCUUCCAGGCACACCCGGCACAUCAGCACCAUGAGGGGCACAUAGGGAUCCCCUACCCCACCCAGGUCAGAGUAGGGUGGAGCUCCCAACAGGCUGGGCACGGAGAAUGGCUCGGGCGCCAGGUAGAACUCCAGCUCGAUGCUGCCGCCGUCGGGGGACAAGGGGUCCGUCGGGAGGGACAGCCGGGGGCUGGGGAAGGAGGUGGGGGUGCUGGGAACGUUCGUCACCGGCGGAGCCCGAGGUGAAGAUGCGGGUGGCGAGGGCUGCUCCGCGGUGGGGGCCUCGGGCAGGUCGUUCUCCACGCAGAACACGGAGCAGAAGACUUGUCUCUUGGCGGGGAUUGGGCGCCGCUGACCCAGCACGUCCAAGACCAGUUCGUCCGCGGCCCCGACGCGGGUCCUGGGCUCCGGCUCUUCGCCCUGGGGCACGUCCUGCUGUUCAUGCCCUCCCUCGUCUCGGCCCCCUGCUUCCUCCUCCUCUUCCAGCUGCUGCUGCAAAGUCUGGGGGUUGAGGGGCCCGCUACCAUAAACACUAUUAAUCACUGCUGCAGGGAAGACGCUGGCUCCAGGCACCAAAAGAAGACAUUGUUUAUGAGUUCUCUGGAAGCCAUGGAAGAAGAGCCCAAAAGUUUUAAAGGUUAAGGAUUUUAGUCCUUACUUCAUAUAUACAUCCCUGGGCAGCACCAGAUGGGAGUAGAGGGCCUGGAAACCCUUCCUGAGUGGCUGACUGUGGAACCCAAAGACAUCCAGUUGAGGGCCUUGUGCGAAUCUCGAGCUGUUGGUCAUGGUGAGGAAGCCAAGCCUGCGCACACGGUGACCACAUACAGAUGUUUGCAGCAUCUGCAGCUGUGGCUCCUCUGCGCCAGGUCCUCCUCCUCCAGGACUUUCUCCCUGCGCCUUGGCACGGCCACCUGCAAACCACUUGCUGGACACAGAGCACAUGGUAGGUGGCUGAGCCUGCGGUCCCGGGCCCUCGAGCGGGCGGCUGCUGGCCCUUGAGAAGGCUACCGGCAAAGGAUGGUGGGAAAAGUGGCUGCUGCAGCUUCUCCAGCACCCCCACGUGGUGCGUAGGACACCAAGACGUGAAAACCACAGGGAACGGAUGUUGGUGAGAGAGACCCUAUGGUCGUGAUAGGACCACAUUUAAGACAUGGUGACCCUAAGGGAGGAAUAAUUCCAGAGUCUUCCCCUGAAGUCCACCCUCUGCCUGACAGCCGUAAUUGUUAAGAAAUCUCAUUUCAUGUCUCAAUGGAAAGUGUUUGGGAAGGUGUGGUGGAUGGAAGGAAGUUGUUCGAAGAAGGUAAGAAUGACAUAUUCUGUGACUGCAUGAAUAAAAAGUCACUGUAAUCAGAGACAGAUCUUCUUUGACAUCAAAGGGAAACAUAGCUACUCACAUCUGCAUACUGCUCUCUGGAGAUUUAUUUUGUUUCCUAGAGGUUAGAACUGUGGGCUCUGCAGACAGAUUGUGUUGUGAGAUUUGGAUCUGUCACUUAGAUGCUGUGGCCAGGAGAGUACUGUGUGGCACUUAUAGCUUUAAUGUCAUCUUAUACUGCAUAUUGUUAAAAAUGGAAAAUGGAGUAAGGAGGGGACUUUGCUACUCUAGUGCUUCCAAUAUAUGUCCACAUACAGAAAUAUGAAGGAAAAAAAAUCUCUUAAUUACAUAAAAUAUAGUUAUUUCAAUUUACUCUUUUAACACAUGGUGUCUUGAUUCAUGAUGCAGUAUAAUUAGGUAUAUUUUCAGUUUCUAAAUGCAUUUCCACAAUAUAUCCAUCCUACUUUAAAUAUAUUGGAUACAUACUAUGCCUUACCUCAACAGUUCUUAUUUUAAAAUUUUAGUGGGAAGGAUUUAGAAAAAACCUUUGUUGUUAUUCUUGAAAUUUAUUCUUAAACCUGCAGAACUAGAUUGAAUUGUAGCCAUGAAAUGUUAGUGCCCUUGCACCAUAAUGGAUUUCAAUCAUCAUGACAAAACUCUUUCUUUAAUAGAAGUGUAAUAAAAACCUGACUAAUUAUGCAUAUAACGAGAUAUUUGAUCCAAUUCACUGGAAAGUCUGAAAAUACUCCCAGCCUUGGUAUCCAAGGUAUCCAAUCUAUCCUUUUUGUGUUUCAUUCUUUUUUGAAAUAAUCAUCCUUUCCUUCUUAGUAAAAACAUCCCAGGAUUAUUUUUUAAUAAUAAACGCACUAUCCCAGUUCCAUUUAUUCCAGUAACAAAAUGGGGGUAAGUCUGAAGUGGAGUAGAUGUAGAAUUUUUUGGUCUCGGCUUCUGUAGCAAGCAGGUCUAGCUAGCGUUAUGGAUGGGCAUAUGACACGUUUCAUUGCACAUGGUCCCCACACUCAGAGGAGUCUGGUGCUUGGUUUAAUGUUCUACUAUCCUCUUCAUGAAAUUCUUAAUAUAUUAUUCUUGAGCAUGUGGUGAGUAGACAAGAUAUCCUGGGGUGACAGCCUGCAUGAAAGUUUGUGAUCUAGCAGCAAUACCGGAGGGCACAGGCUUAGGCCCCAGGGCACAGCAUGCAGUCUGCAGAGCAAUUGGCCUGGGCUGCCUCAGGGCAGUCGGAGGAGCUGCUGGGCUGGGGACCAACUGAGGAUAAGAUUGGCGGGGGUGACAGUGGCCCCAACAGCAGCAGAAGGGGCAGCUCUACCCCUGGGGGGAAGCAGGGGCCCUUGGCAGCCCUAGGAACUGGGGGGAGGCCAGCUUGCCUAUUAAUUCCCCAAAAGCCCUCGUCCCUGUAGCUUUUGCACAAAUGCUAACUAUGACUUUAGUGCUGGGACACGAACCGCUGGUGCUCGGGCAGUAAGCAUCGUCAGAAAAUUAUUAUAAGGUAAACGUAUACACGUCAGUGUUUAAUAAAGCAUUAUCAGAGCACCAUUGGGAUUAUUCAAAGAGUUUGGAAUCUCUCGUUUUGAGAACUUCAGCAAUGUUGUAAAAAAAACAGAUCCGUGGGCUCACACAUAAAAAGUAGAGACUAGUAUCAGUAAUAGACAGAAGAUAAUAUUUUCAUAAGAUGCUUCAGAAGAACAAAUUAUUGAGAAAGACAAUUUUACAAUUAUUUUUCUUGUAACUGAACAUAUAGCAGUAGAUUACUUAAGUGGGUGUUUUUAAGUACAUGGAAACCAGGAAGCCAUUUUUAGCUUCUUGAACAAGUUACAGGAAAUGUCAGAGGAAACACUAAGAUCCUAUUAUAUAAUAUUUCUUUAAAACUUUUGUUUAACGUUUAUUUAUUUUUGAGAAAGACAGAGGGAAAGAGAGAGAGAGAGUGCUAGGGCAUGCAGGCUAGUGGGGGAGAGGCAAAGAAAGAGGGAGACACAGAAUCUGAAGCAGUCUCCAGGCUCUGAGCUGUCAGCACAGAGCCUGACGUGGGUCUUGAACCCAUGAGCCGUGAGAUGGCGACUUGAGCUGAAGUCGGAUGCUUAACCGACUGGGCCACCCAGGCGCCUUUAUAAUUUUCUUUAAAAUUUGAUUCAGGUUUACAUGAAAGUGAUUUUUUAUGAAGUUUGAUCUUUUUUAGAAAAAUUGUUCUGUGAAUGAUUAACUCAAAUGACUAAUAUUUAUAAGUAGUUUAUUAGAAAUUUACUGCAAUGUUGUCACUGUUUAUAAAAUAUUCUUCAUGGCUCUAGUAACAGUGACAGAAGCAGGGAGAUUCUUCUCUAAAUUAAAAACUAUAGUUUCAUAAAAAUUAUAAAAGGUUGUGAUGCAUUUGCCAAGAGUGACUGACAUCACUUUCAUUUGUAUUGAUUAAAAAGGAAUUGGUUCAAAGUAUACAUUUUGAUGACUUAAUAUUAAGUUAGAGAAAGGUGAGUCAAAUAUCUUAUUAUCAGUCAAGAUAUCCCACUAAUAAAGUAUUGUAUUCAUUGUAUUAUUUAAAAUUAUGACAUCUAAGUAUUUUUUAUUAUUUAUAUUUUGUGUUGUUAUUUAUGUGUUACUAUUUGCCCUUAUUAUGUUUUAUAAGUAAUAACAUACUUUAGAAGGAAAAGUCUUAAUAUUUUAGUACCUUUAGUAGCACUCAUUUUCUACUCUGAACAAGAGCUCCACAUUUGCAUUUUUCACGGGUCCUACAAACUAUGUAGCCACCCCUGAUAGCAAGAUAUAGACAGGUUACUUGACCUAUUGGAAAUGGAAAUGUUUCGAGUCUGAGAGCAUUUGCUUUUUGGCACUCAAUACAAACACCGAGUAUGUUUUGUUUUUCCAUUAAUUGUUAGCACGGGCCCCUGCCUCUCAACCCUCUGGCCCUGCCCUACCGAUCUGCUUUUGCAGAUGCAAAGACUAGUUCCAUAGGUGUCUGGAACACAAAGUUUUUACAUCUUUACCAGUGGAGGAUUUUUCAUAAUCUUUACUAAAUUUGGUAAGUUCCCCGUGAUUUAUCAUUUGUAACUACGUGUUCAUUUGCUUGACUUCAUCCUGAGAGUGUCGGUCAGCCUGAGAUAACAAUGACAAGAGGCUCAGGUGUCCUGGGGUCCUCCAGUUUGAAGCUUGGAAGAUUUAUGUCUAGACAGCAGUUUGCAAAACCUCUCUGCACAUGGAGAUCAACAUAUCCCCAAAGGAUAUAAUGAGUAAAACUAGAAGAAUAAUGAAGAAAAAUGACAGGCACACAAAAGGGGAAUAAACAGGGUAUGCCUCUGGUAAAUAACUCCCCGAAGGACUCUUAGAAAAGACUUGCUGAUUAAUUGAAUCAAUCCAUCAUCCUUGGGGUGACAGCAUCAAUUUGCAAUCUUUUUUUGGGAGUUGUUUUAUUCCAUUGCUGUUACAGCUUAAAUUCAUAUGAGAGUAGAAUGAGAGGUUAAAAAAUAUAACUGUUUUGUUACUAAGGGGCCACAAUUCUGUGCUCUCAUUAUAGAGAAGGCUUACAUUAAUUUUAAUAAAGGUUUGGACUGUAUCAGAGCAUCAACAUGUGGCUUAUAACAGGAUUUUUCCUCUCUGAAUUUAUCAUAUAGAAAUAAACUUUCAAUACCUAUACAAAUUUUGAGCUCAUUUGCAUCUAAACUCCAUGUUUGAGGAUUUUUAAAAAAUGAUCUUCAUUAUAAUUCUAAAGAAUAUAAAAAGAAGUGCCUUUAUCCCUUUUUAGGAGAAACUCACCAUCAUUUUCUUUGUUGUCACUGACAGUCAUAACUCAUGAUACCGUUGCAGAUUUCGGUGGUAAAUGAGACUCUGGAAUGCAUUAUCCAGUUCAAGUUUUUGUUGAAUUAAAAGGCAUAGAGCACAUACAUGUAUUAGAGAUUUUGCUCUUAUAGUUAUCAAAAGUGAUUGUUUCCGGAUACUAGCAUGUUUUAAAUUGGACAUAAUACAUCAAUCACAGAUUUUGUUCUUUCCUUUCUCGGGAGUGAGUGGAAGGAAGAUGUAAUAAAAUGAAAAGGAUUGAACACAGAUCCUAAGCAAAGAUUCACAUGUGGUGAGAAUAACUGGGGCUUCAGUGUUUUACAAUGUAAGGAUCUUGGUAUCAAAGCUUUCUGAGUACAAGUGUUUAGUGCUGAAAUUUUAUCAGAGAUGGAUCAAAUGUCUGAAGGAAGAUAGUCUUGUCAAUCGUGGUAUUUUCAUGAUGAAACAGUUCAAGUAAUCUCAAUCUCUCUAAUAUUAACUAUUCACAAAUGCAUUAUACGAGAAAUAACAGAAAAACUUCUAAACCUUGAAAACAAACAUAAUUUGUCGACGACAUUUACAUGUGGGUAUGAGUUUUGGUGUAUAAAAAACUGUAAGAUAAUAAAACAUAUUUAACAUUGAGACUAUAUUGAACCUAAUACACAAUAAUUCAGACACAUUUCAUGAUCUUAUACUAUCUUAGAGUCUUCCUUAUCAGGGUUCAUUCUGAUUUAACAGUCCAGGGUCAGUUGACAAAUCCCAUUGCCUGGGAUUUGAUUUAUUCUAUUCUGGUCAGAGUAUGCAUACAGGAAUUUGUUGUAGAAUGGUGAGUGAUUUGCAUUUUCACAAUAAAUGGUAGUCUUGAGUAAUUUCUUGAUCUCUGUGGGCCUUAGCUUACUGUCUCUACAAUAAAUGGGUUUGGAUCUCAAAAGUUUGUUCUGUAAUGUAACCUACAUAAAAUGAGCUUGUAUUUCUGAGUUUAUGACCCAUUUGUUAUAGUAUAAUGGAAUGUUGGCUAUUUCUUUCACUGUAUUAGAGAUUAGGAUUUGAACAGUUACAAAUGAAGAUCUUGGUGCCAUCAACAAAUAAUAUUUAUUACUUACCAAAUGCACACCUUAUUUGAGAACUCCAGAGGUGGGAAUCUUUUCUUUAGGGUGUAUAUAUAUAUAUAUAGUUGCUUUAUUAACUUUUAUCCCUUUUUUUGCAACUGAGAUGUGUGUAUUUGACCUCACAGUAUGAAGCAACAUCCUGCCAGUCAUCCACAAUGAACCAUAUCAACACACCUUUCACACAGGGAACAAAAGUAAAAACAGGCUUCAUCAUUUCCAAGACUCACCGUGUGGCCAGGAUGUCAAAUUCUACAAGUUGAUCUUCAGCUUCUUGGAAUGUUGCCUCAAAGCCUUUUUUAUUUUCAAUCGAUUUCUGCAUUUUGGAUUCUGGGGGUUGUGCAAUGAAAGAGCCCCAACAGCAGCCCAAGCUUGAGACAGCCCAAGCCUGAUCCCUCUACCUUCUCUCCCUUUCAGCUACACAGUGAACCUCAGCUGAAAUUAUGGUUACGCAAUCAUAAAUUCCUUGGGUGAAUCUUUUCUGCUUGCCUACCCUACCCCAACAUGGUUCACUUAUAGUGUUGUCAACGAUUGGUCCUCAAAGGAGCAAUGACUAAAUGAGUAUUCUAAAUAAUUUUAUUUUAAAUAAUUUGACCUUUAAAAAAAGAAAAAAACCCACCUCUGUUAAGCAAAGGUUUUUAACAUAGUGCCCUAACACCUCUGUCAGCUAUUAGCCCGAUGCUAACUCUAAAUUCCAGAUUGAAAGGAAAAAAAAAAGUUCUCCAAAUGACAGCAAGUCUAUUCCAGGCAGUCUUGUAAAAGAUCCCUUAGUGUUAGGGGAUAAUGAAAGUGCGUGCUACCUAUGACUGAGCUAACAUGGUGCCAUGACCUGGCAAUUUCUUUUUAUUGCUGACAUAUCCAUUCCUGCAUAGCACAGAACAUCAGCGUUGCCUUCAUGUAAAUUUAAUAGGUUUUCCUUGUCAAUGAUAUAAUCAGAUACACUGUGAGAAGGAGGGGCUUUCAGGGAUGGCUCAGAAGCUUAAUUGUUUUUCCAUUUAUUUUUAAAAUGCAAAUUACACUAGUAAGUCAAAAAAAUCACUCUGUUAAAAAUACAUUCAGAAUUAACAAACGCAAAAAAAAAAGACACAUCAGGAUUGUAACUCUUGCCUUCUGAAUAUUAGGUUUAUAACAAAAGCUCAGCCUAGAAAAAUAGCAUUCUUCACCGGAUUUUGAGGAGGAAUCAGCUGUACAACUCAGAUGGUUUUCCAGAUAUAAUCACACUACUGUGCUCACUGCUCCCAAAAGAAGACCUGUCCACGAAUUACUCUUUAGUAGUCAACAACUGGUUUUGAAAAUUUUGGUGGUGAUGAUAGUAGUGAUUAAGUGGUAGCUUGGCUGCAACUUAAAGCAGGAAUAUGAGGGCUUGUUCUCUGUGCACUUAAAUCUCUAUCCAUAUACAUGUCCUAUAAGGUGGGAAUCUCAUCACAGCAUGAAUGUACAGUGAAACCUCAUUUUAAUUUUCACAUUAAUAGUCACAUUAGAAUAGUUUCUGGCAUGUAGAGUAUUUAAAUUUUAAGAAUCAGAGGACAAUAAAUUGGUAAAUAUUUUUUUCCUACAUUAAACAUGCAUGUCACUAUAAAAUCAUCAUAUGAGGUUUCACUGACAUGUUUGCAAUUAUUUAUUUUAUACAUGUAUGUAUGGACAAACAUAUACAAGCCACUGAGAAAAUUCAAGCACAAGUGCUGGAACCUUUUUUUUUUUUUUUUUUUUUUUAGUUUAUGUU
Long non-coding RNA from Acinonyx jubatus (cheetah), 9004 nucleotides. RefSeq lists it as uncharacterized. The transcript has 4 exons. Lineage: Eukaryota; Metazoa; Chordata; Mammalia; Carnivora; Felidae. The record is from RefSeq and is a predicted model, not a curated record.